Molecule: ribosomal RNA, 496 nt
Filed under: uncultured bacterium
Lineage: Bacteria
Description: partial 16S ribosomal RNA
Rfam family: Bacterial small subunit ribosomal RNA
Source: RNAcentral
AUGAACGCUGGCGGCGUGCCUAAUACAUGCAAGUCGAGCGAACAGACGAGGAGCUUGCUCGUCUGACGUUAGCGGCGGACGGGUGAGUAACACGUGGAUAACCUACCUAUAAGACUGGGAUAACUUCGGGAAACCGGAGCUAAUACCGGAUAAUAUAUUGAACCGCAUGGUUCAAUAGUGAAAGACGGUUUUGCUGUCACUUAUAGAUGGAUCCGCGCCGCAUUAGCUAGUUGGUAAGGUAACGGCUUACCAAGGCAACGAUGCGUAGCCGACCUGAGAGGGUGAUCGGCCACACUGGAACUGAGACACGGUCCAGACUCCUACGGGAGGCAGCAGUAGGGAAUCUUCCGCAAUGGGCGAAAGCCUGACGGAGCAACGCCGCGUGAGUGAUGAAGGUCUUCGGAUCGUAAAACUCUGUUAUUAGGGAAGAACAAAUGUGUAAGUAACUAUGCACGUCUUGACGGUACCUAAUCAGAAAGCCACGGCUAACUACGUG